GUGGCAGUGGUUCAGUGGUAGAGUUCCCGCUUCAUACGCGGGAAAACCUGGGUUCGAUUCCCGGCUGCUUUC
Molecule: transfer RNA, 72 nt
Organism: Toxocara canis (dog roundworm)
Lineage: Eukaryota; Metazoa; Nematoda; Chromadorea; Rhabditida; Toxocaridae
Rfam family: tRNA
About the family: Transfer RNA (tRNA) molecules are approximately 80 nucleotides in length.
Source: Rfam